ACUACUCCUCCUUAAAUUUUAGUCUGAUUUCAAUAUAACUUGGCACACAAGUAGACUAUACUAAGAUACAUAAUUCUGUGCAUCAGUUUUUGAUAAGUACAAACCAGUAGAGCUACAAUCUCGACAGAGACUUCUGGUUAUUUUUUCUUCCAUCCCGGUUGUUGCUAAUGCUAUUACAUAAUUAGUUUAAAUUAGAAUGCAAUAGUACCUGGACAUAAUUUAUCAUUUCAGAGAGAAGAAAACUGUGUGACUUUAAAAGAAAACCAGUGAGAUAAAAUCAUAGAAAAUGUAUGAUGAUUCAGGAUGUGGUCAUUUGUGACAUUAAAACAGGAAUUGUCAUCACCAAUAGACGAAUUUCACAUUCCUAAGAGUUUUCUCCAAUUGUUGGCGUAUCGCUCAUUUUUCCCACUUUGUCCUUUGUCCUGUUCUGUGGAUGCCCUAAGACAGUGUCUACCCAUCACUCCAUCUGAUAUCACUUGUUCUGAGCAUAUUUCUCUCUCAAACUUAAACUACAGAGAGCCUGUGGAUAGUGGAUGAAGAGUGACCUUGGACCAAUUUUCUAGGUCAAAGAUCAAAGGUGAUGUGAAGAAAACCAGGAAACUGAUGUUGAAAGAAGUACUUAAUGACCCUUAUGAAUGGACUUAAAUGUGAAAGACUGUUCCAUUGUUUAUCUAAGAUAUAUGGAUUUAUUUAAUAUUUUGAUAUCAUUGAAAAAUUCAGUUACAGUUUUUGUACAUCAAAUGAAUUAUUAAACAUAUAAAAUGGUAAUGCUUUUUUCUUUUACAUGUAAUAAAUUUUUUUGAUAGAUUUUUAAAAGAAUACACAUUAUUUCACAUUGCUUCCUUUAGAAAAGUUAGGGAAUCUUGAAGUUUCCCAGUAAUUUCCACCAGGAAUGGGACUCCAGAUAAUUCCACCAAGUUUC
Long non-coding RNA from Saccostrea cuccullata (small rock oyster), 922 nucleotides. RefSeq lists it as uncharacterized. NCBI's taxonomy places the organism in Eukaryota, Metazoa, Mollusca, Bivalvia, Ostreida, Ostreidae. The transcript has 4 exons. The record is from RefSeq and is a predicted model, not a curated record.